AUUGAACGCUGGCGGAAUGCUUUACACAUGCAAGUCGAACGGCAGCACGGACUUCGGUCUGGUGGCGAGUGGCGAACGGGUGAGUAAUGUAUCGGAACGUGCCCAGUCGUGGGGGAUAACGUAGUGAAAAUUACGCUAAUACCGCAUACGAUCUAUGGAUGAAAGCGGGGGAUCGCAAGACCUCGCGCGAUUGGAGCGGCCGAUAUCAGAUUAGGUAGUUGGUGGGGUAAAGGCCCACCAAGCCAACGAUCUGUAGCUGGUCUGAGAGGACGACCAGCCACACUGGAACGGAGACACGGUCCAGACUCCUACGGGAGGUAGCAGUGGGGAAUUUUGGACAAUGGGCGAAAGCCUGAUCCAGCCAUUCCGCGUGCAGGAUGAAGGCCCUCGGGUUGUAAACUGCUUUUGUACAGAACGAAAAGGUUUCUACUAAUACUAGGAGCUCAUGACGGUACUGUAAGAAUAAGCACCGGCUAACUACGUGCCAGCCGCCGCUGUAA
Molecule: ribosomal RNA, 500 nt
Filed under: uncultured bacterium
Lineage: Bacteria
Description: partial 16S ribosomal RNA
Rfam family: Bacterial small subunit ribosomal RNA
Source: RNAcentral